Macrobrachium nipponense is the source of this 149-nucleotide long non-coding RNA. RefSeq lists it as uncharacterized. NCBI's taxonomy places the organism in Eukaryota, Metazoa, Arthropoda, Malacostraca, Decapoda, Palaemonidae. The transcript is spliced from 2 exons. The record is from RefSeq and is a predicted model, not a curated record.
CAGCCACGGUGGAGGAUUUGGAGGAGGUGGUGGUUUCGGAGGAGGUGGAGGAUUUGGACGCUAGAAUUCUCCAGGGAAAACCACAAGAAAUUCUUCUUUGUUUCUCUUUUUGUGUUUUUGUUAAAGGUAAAUAAAGACAGAAAAUGAUA